GAGACGAGGAACUUAGGUUCUGAAGCAAUCGGAAGUGGUUCCAAGAAAAGCCUCUAAGCUUCAGUCAUACGAGACCGUACCGCAAACCGACACAGGUGGGCGAGAUGAGUAUUCUAAGGCGCUUGAGAGAACUCGGGAGAAGGAACUCGGCAAAUUGGUACCGUAACUUCGGGAUAAGGUACGCCCUAGUAGUUUGACCACUUUACUGUGGAAGGAUGAACGGGUUGCAAUAAAAUGGUGGCUGCGACUGUUUAAUAAAAACACAGCACUCUGCAAACACGAAAGUGGACGUAU
This 294-nucleotide ribosomal RNA is filed under the name Oxalobacteraceae sp. CFBP 8755. Its description in RNAcentral is "partial 23S ribosomal RNA". It matches the Rfam family "Bacterial large subunit ribosomal RNA", at positions 1566 to 1846 of the family's 2925-position model. Lineage: Bacteria; Pseudomonadati; Pseudomonadota; Betaproteobacteria; Burkholderiales; Oxalobacteraceae. The record is from RNAcentral.